GGAGCGGUCCGGGUGGUCGCGGCGGCGGCUUUGUCGCUGUCGAGGAAAGUCCGGGCUGCACUGGGUAAGGAUGCCGGAUAACGUCCGGCGGAGGCGACUUCGGGAAAGUGCCACAGAGAGUAGACCGCCGGUUGUUUCGACAACGGGUAAGGGUGAAAGGGUGCGGUAAG
RNAcentral lists this RNase P RNA (170 nucleotides) under Mariprofundaceae bacterium. RNAcentral describes it as "partial RNase P RNA component class A". It matches the Rfam family "Bacterial RNase P class A", at positions 1 to 171 of the family's 367-position model. Rfam says of the family: Ribonuclease P (RNase P) is a ubiquitous endoribonuclease, found in archaea, bacteria and eukarya as well as chloroplasts and mitochondria. The record is from RNAcentral. Lineage: Bacteria; Pseudomonadati; Pseudomonadota; Candidatius Mariprofundia; Mariprofundales; Mariprofundaceae.